Rosa rugosa (rugosa rose) is the source of this 8249-nucleotide long non-coding RNA. RefSeq lists it as uncharacterized. The record is from RefSeq and is a predicted model, not a curated record. The transcript has 3 exons. NCBI's taxonomy places the organism in Eukaryota, Viridiplantae, Streptophyta, Magnoliopsida, Rosales, Rosaceae.
AGUGGUAUUUUAAUAGUUAAUUCCUCACAUUUUGCUUAGUUAAUUCCUUAACGAAUCGAUUUUUAACUCAAUUUCUAUUUUCUUAGGUACAUUGGAGUAAAUGAUGGUGAAAUGAGCAUUAGGUCCACACUUACCUAUAAAUGGUGGAGAAAAAUGGAAAUGUACUAAAAUGUCAAUUUUACACAUUUCCUACUCCGGCUAGGAGAAACCAAGCCAAGCAAGGAAGAAGGAGCGGCCGCCGGACCAAAUGAACUUCAAAUGAGCUGAAACUUUCCAGAUCCAUUCUACACAUCCUAAGGAUCAUUUCUUAUGAAGAGUGCCAGAGCUAUAAUUGAGUGGAAGGCCUUCAAACAGUCAGCCCAAUUUCCUGCAGAAGCAAAACUGGAAAACUGGACCUGUAAGAGGUCCAGCAGCAUUUCCAGCCCAAAGGCAUGGAAAUAAAUUCUGAAAUUUUACCAAAAUGAUCUACACUCAUGGUAGAUCAUUUCAUAUGAAGAAGUCACGAGCCAAAACUGAAUUCCUGUUGGAGAAAUAAUUGAAGGAAUAAAAGGGCAGAAACUGACCUAAAACAGCUCAACACCACAUGUUCAAGUUUCCUACCCACAUGAAGAAAGCUAGAUGCUUUUCUCUUUUUCCUUGGAUAUAUUUUUCUGCUCCAAUAGAUCAUCAUCACUUCCAUACUUCUGCACCUUCAUGCCUUGCUUUCAUUUCAUCAUUACUCCAUCUUUUCCAUAUUUUACAAACCACUUUCAUUAUUUUUCUUCCAUUUAUCAUUUCACUCUUCUUUUUCUUCCCUAUAUAAACACCUUCUCCUCUCACUCUAAGUACCUUCCUUCAUCCAUUUCAUCUUCUUUGUCUCUCCAUUUCCAUUCCAUUUUUCUCUCCAUUCUCUAGUUGCAAAAUUCUGCGUUUUCAAGUAAGAAGAAGAAGAAGAAGAAGGAGCCGGGAAUAUCAUAUCCUCCAUCGUCCACCUUGAAGGCUUGCUUCCAAGAUUCAAGAUUUCAACGUUUCAAGCACUCCAUCUCCAUCUCCAACUCACGGUGUGUACCCUCAAUCCCCGGAAUAGAACGAUCCCUAUUUGCUUAUACUACUAACGAUGUUUUCAGGGUUAAAUUAUGCGCUUGCUUUGAGCGUAUCAAUUUUUGGCGCCGUUGCCGGGGAAUUGAAAAAUCACUUGUUUUUGUUUAUAAUUAUUGUAUAUAAACUGUUUGAAACUUAGUUAAUUAAUUAACUAGGUUGUUUUUUUUAUUGUUGAAUACGAGUUUAAUUGUGAGUUGUAAAUUAAAGAAGGAAUAGGUGAAGUCGUGUUUAUUAAUAUUGGCCUAAACCCUUUAUUGGUACCUAGUUCAGGUCCCUUAAGGUUGAGGGCGGCCUUUAUUAACAUUCAUUGAACUGUCUAACACACUUAGGACCUUUUACAUCCUAGUAAGAAUAUCCUAUGUGAGAUGGUGCCUAGGAAGGGGAUAACGUUCAUGACGGGUUUUUGAAUCCAGAAGUGCUUAUAAAUGGGCUUAGCUCAUGCCAAAAUGGAUUUUUCCUCUCGUGUUCACCCUCCCCUACCUGGCCAUUUCAGUAAGGUUGCCCAACGGAUGUAGGAGGGACUUUGUGUCUAGACGACUAUACUUGGGCCGCACGUCCACUUGAUUUACCGCUUGGAAUUAGAUUUGAUAUCAAUAAUGUUUAUAACAAAAGAAAUACUUGUGCAUACUCUUUACGUGUAAAUUAUUUUGUUGUUUCACACUUUAUACUUGUAAAAAUACUUUUUACGUUUUAUACUCACUUGUGUACUUAACUUGUGUCUUAUGUACAAAAUACUUGUUAAUUAUACUUGUAGUUUGUAAUUCAUAGUUACUUGUUUAUUUUUUUUGUAUUUCUUUGUUAAUAUUAAGUUACUAACUUUAUUUAAUGUAGGUACCGUCUGGCUGCAAGACGUAAAAUACAAGCGCUGCUUGGGAGGCAACCCAAUUCAGAAUAUAAUCAGAUUUGCUUUCUCUUCCCCUUUUACUCCUCCAUUUUCUUUUUGUUUUAGUAGUUAUUUUCGUAAAUUCCAUCCCUAUAUGCUUACUUAUUUCAUUGCAUGCUUUUAAUUGAUUACAUUGAGGAUAAUGCAAUAUUUAAGUGUGGGGGAAGGGAUUUAUAUUUUUGUCUUUCAUUUUGAAUCCUAUAAAUAUUUUUGUCUUUCAUUUUGAGUCCUAUAAAUAUUUUUGAGUCCUAUUUUAUUUUUAAAAAAAAAAAAAAAAAAAAAUAAUAAUAAUAAUAAUAAUAAUAAAAUAAUAAUAAUAAAAAAAAAAUAAUAAUAAUAAAUAAAAAAUAAUAAUAAUAAAAAAUAAAAAAAAAUAAAAAAUAAAAUAAAAUGCAUUCAUUCAGUCUUAUUAAAUUCAGCUAUUUACAAAAAAAAAAAAAAUAAAAAAAAAAAAAAAAUAAUAAUAAUAAUAAUAAUAAUAAUACUCUAUACUAAGCCAUGUCUGCAUCUCUGUAGGAGUUGAGGCUGAGCUCAAGGGAAAUGUGAGAGCCACCGCCAUAACCGCUACCUCUCUCGGAAGUAGUCUUCAUGAUGCCCAAGAUGUCCUCACCAUGCAUGGGGAAUAGUGGAAGGGUUUCAAUCUCCUGGUGAUCUCCUCCUCGUUGUUGCAGGGAUGUUUGUCCUCCUGUUGUGCCAAAAGAGUUGUACUGGUAUUAGUGUUGAAGUGUGAGGAAGAAUAUGAAACAAAAUUUAAAUCAAGAAAUCCUUCAUUACCAGUAGAAUCGGUGGAACCAAAGUUGAGAUUAAUGGAUCUACCAUCAUCAGUAGAACUAGUGGACCCAAAAUUGAUGUCAAUGGAUCCACCAGCUGGCCCAAAAUUGAUGUCGAUGGAUCCACCAGCACCAGUAGAACCAGUGGACCCAAAAUUGAGAUCAAUGGAUCCACCAGUACCAGGAGAACUAGUUCCCAUGGGCACUUGAGCAGCCUGAUUGCACCUCUUCAUCUGCUUCUCUCGAGCCCUGACAUUCUGGAACCAAAAAUAAAUGUUCUUGCCCUCAACAUGUCCAUACUGGUUCAGCUGGAGACAGAUCUCGUGAAUGUGCUCUGUAGUUGGGCACUUAACUCCCUUGUCGUAGUAAAGAUCCUUGAGGAUCCUUAUUUGAUCUGGAGUAGGAACCCACCUGGCACGGCUUCGCCAGAAAUCUGUGUUGGCACUACUCCCGGCUGCUUGGUUGUUUCCUCCAUCCUCGAUUUGUUGCUGGGUUUGUAGCUCCAUCAGUUGCAGAGUUCGUGGUUCCAUGGUAAUGGGUUGAGGGGAUGUGAAGAUCGAAGAGUAAAGUUGUCGAGUGUUUGAAGGAGUUGUUGUUAAAGGGAUUAAGGAUGAUGAUGGUGUGUUGGAGAUCUGAAAGUUCAGAGGAAAGAUGGGAUUGAAUCAACUAGAUGGGAGAGAAGAUCAGAAGAGAAGGAUUGAAUCGAAGAAGAAAUAUUUUGAGUUUUGAAAGAAGAGGAAAAGCUGAAGAGUUGGGAGAGAGGGGCUGGAACUCAGGAGAGAUUUUCGUUCCUUUGGAGUGAACAGUUGCGCCCUCAGAAUGCACCUAUUUAUAGAGCGAGGUGAGCAGAUCUCCACCGUUGGAUGGACGAUUCCUGUGAUUCAUUCUACGCGUUGGAUUAAAGUCGCCCUGAAACCCGGAAAAGUUGUUGGCGCGUGGAGAGCGUGUAAGGGGACCGAGGGAAUCUCGAGGCGCUGUGGCAGACAGCUGUAGCCGAAAGCAGAUUUGACUGCCGUAAAUCACGGAAGGGAUAAGCCGUGACACAAGUGGGCCGUACUUGGGCCUGUCUCGGAUCAAGGCAUCACUGUAGCUGUGGGUAGAGGCCUGAUGGGCCGAGUUUCAGAAACAGUUUUGGACAUGAUGGGCCGAGUUUCUGAAACAGUUUUGGAUGAGUUGGGCCGGAUUUCUGUAACAGUUUUGGAUACGUUGGGCUGGGUUUCUGCAACAGUCUUGGAUGUUUUGUGCCGAAUUGUUGAAACAGUUGAAACAGUUGGUUUAAAUAAAAGGAUUGGUAUGGAUAAUAACGUGAGCAGCCGUGCUCGAGUGGUUGAGUGUAAAGUUCGUGUACAAGAGGUCUGAGGUUCGAACCUCGCCUCUCGUUUAUUUUUAUUAUGUUCGUUUAUGACAUAAUAAGUAUAAAAUUUGUACACAUUAUAUUAAGCACAGCUUGUGCUCCAGUGGUUGGGGACAAAGGUUUCGUGCAGCAGGUUAAGGUUUCGAACCUUGCCUCCCCCGUUUUUUUUUAUUUAUGUCACUCCAUCAGAACCCUCCUCCGAAGGCUGAAACCAGCAAGAAGGCUGCCACUCGCCCGCAUACCGCUCCUCCAAAGGAGUGAAUGGAGGUACAAGUCUAGGCUGAAAGACUUUAAACAUUAAGCGCUGCAUGGGAGGCAACCCAUUUCAACCGUAGCUGUGGAGGAGCCAUCAACGCAGAUUUGCUCUCUUAAACUCUAUCUCCUCUAUUACUAUUUUCUGAUUGUAUCUUUGUUAUUUGCGUUUUUAGUUUUUGUUUUUAGGUUUUCUUGAGUUAAUCAUUCCAUUCACAUGAUAAUUGUUCAUUGCAUGCUCUAACUUGUUUAACAUUGAGGACAAUGUAUGAUUUAAGUGUGGGGGGAAGGAUUAAUGCUUGUAGUUAGUUUUUGUCAUAAAAAGAAAACAAAAUAAAAAAUCAGAAAAAUCAGAAAAUUAAAAAAAUUAAAUUAAAAAAAAAAAAAAAAAAAAAAAUCGUUAACUUUGUUUUAGGUUUUAUAUUCAUGUUUUGGUUUUUGUUUAUCUUUGUUCUUUAGUUUGUUUGUUUUGUUUGUUUGUUGUUAGAGUCAAAAUGAAUUUUGGGUAAAUAUCUUCUUCAUCGUAGGCGCAUCCAAUGGGAUGUGAUGUCUAAAGGUCUAGUUUGGAUAUGAGAAGUGCUGACAAAGGGUCUCGUCCCCUGUAAAUCAAGUGAGCUGAGCUCCGCCAAAAUCGUUCCUCUCUUCACCUGGUCAUGUUCCAAAGGAGUUACCGAAAGGAGAAGAGAAAUAUCCCUAAGUCCAAAACGUUUUUUUUCUUGUAUGUUGCAUCACUUUAUGUGUUGUUCUUGUUUUUGUUUUGUUUUGAGUCUUAGGAUGCCUUUCAACUGUCUGGGAUGAUUCUAUAUCUCUGAAAUCAUGACUAAAAGAGGAUCACAACAUUGAGAUGAUUUUAACAUGGUAUUCUUUGGUUAAUUGAGAUAUAUGAAAAAUGUAUGCACUUGUAGUGGAUAUGGAUUGCAUGACCUUGGUACAGAAUAUGAGCAUGUUAAGAUGAGUUGUGAUUCAUAAAAUCCAUGUGAGAUAAUUGAACCAUGUCCCUUUUUCUUGGAGUGAAAUGAAAAAUAUAUUCUUAAUUUCUUGGCGAUGUUUUGAUGAUCUCAUUAUUCUUUCAUCUUGAUUGACUGCUUGCCAUAGAUUAAGUUUAAUUGACUAGAGAAUGCUAGAAUUCGCUCUUGUGCUUGUUGAGACGUGAUAUCAAUACAUGGCCCUGAUUCUGGAAGGGAUAGAGGUUCUCUAGGAAUUACCACCAUUGCUAAAUAAACUUGUGUCCCCAUUUGUGCCCGUCGUGGGACCCCCCUAGAUAAACCCCUUUGAGCCUACAUUAAGCCUUUUCUUUCAUCACCCUAAAAAUCCUUAACCCCUGAACCUUAGUAUAGUGAUAAUCCUACCCUUUGUUCUAAAAACUUAGUGGAGCUAUCUUUUGAGACAUACUACAUGGGUUUGGUGCUAAGGAUGAAGAUUGAGAAGAGGUGAAAGUUCAAGUGUGGGGAUAGACUUGUCCAUAAAGAAAAAGAUAUGUUGAAGCCGUGAAAAAAUGAAAAGAAAAGAGAAAAAUUGUGUACGGCUAAAAAGAAAAAGAAAGAAAAAAAAUAUAUAUGUUUAUGGACUUUCAUCCCCCAUACUUAGUGAUUUUGGAGUUUGCUUUGAAUUGAAGGCCCACUACAGAAAAAUUUGACCUUUGUCCAUUUCACUAGAGUUCAAAGGAAGUUUAGAAGGAAGGUUGGGCCCAACAUGAAGACAUUAGCCCUUUUAUUUUACCUCUAUGGGUGUGGCGUUUUGAGUUGGUGGAUUUCUAGAAGUCUCUCUACAUCUGCAUGAGCUCUGCUAGGUUUUUAGGAUACUUUGACAUUCCAUACCUUUCAUUUCUGAAAACUUUGAGCCUUAGCCCCAUUACAACCCUUUGAGAAGACCUUCUUGAUCCUUAAGAUGGGACAGCCUUUGAUGUGGAGAUGAGUUACAAGAGUUGAACCUAUGGCUUGGGUCCAUUCGUGCAAGUAGUUGAUAUCCUUCAUGAGAUCUUUUGAAAAAAAAAUUAUAUUCACAAAGUGCUUUUCGUUUCUUAUAUAUGUGAGCUAUUUGACUGCCUUAAAAUAUGUUCUCUCACAUAUAAAUGAGUGAUUAUAAGCUUUUAAGCAUUGCCUUGAUCUGAGAGAAGAAAUAGUGGAUAUACCUUGUGAGGAUAUGAAUCAUACUUGUCUGAAGCAUGCUAAGCUAAACCCCAUCACCAUUGUUACAACCAAGUCCUACUUGUGUAUGUGUGGAUCAUAUGUUUUAAUUAACUCUCGAAUGCUUAACAUUGAUUCUUGGUUGAGUGCUAAUCUUGGUGUUGUGAAAGUAAGAGAUUUCUGAGACAAUAUGUUAAAGGGCAAUAGAGGUCUUUGUGAUGUCAACAUCUUGGUCUUUGUCUUUGAAUUUACUCUUUUAUGUGUGACAUUUUUUUCUUUGUGUUUUGCUUUGUGUUUUACGUUUUUGGUUUCUUUGAGUCUUUGUGUUUUUGUUUCCAUACUUAGUCAUUUUUUUUCGUUGGUUUCUUUGUUUUGUGUCAUAGUCUUUUUGGUUUGUUAGUUUUUGAUUUUGCUAAGGGACUAGCAAAAGCUAAGUGUGGGGGAAUUUGAUAGGAGCAUUUUAAAGUGGUAUUUUAAUAGUUAAUUCCUCACAUUUUGCUUAGUUAAUUCCUUAACGAAUCGAUUUUUAACUCAAUUUCUAUUUUCUUAGGUACAUUGGAGUAAAUGAUGGUGAAAUGAGCAUUAGGUCCACACUUACCUAUAAAUGGUGGAGAAAAAUGGAAAUGUACUAAAAUGUCAAUUUUACACAUUUCCUACUCCGGCUAGGAGAAACCAAGCCAAGCAAGGAAGAAGGAGCGGCCGCCGGACCAAAUGAACUUCAAAUGAGCUGAAACUUUCCAGAUCCAUUCUACACAUCCUAAGGAUCAUUUCUUAUGAAGAGUGCCAGAGCUAUAAUUGAGUGGAAGGCCUUCAAACAGUCAGCCCAAUUUCCUGCAGAAGCAAAACUGGAAAACUGGACCUGUAAGAGGUCCAGCAGCAUUUCCAGCCCAAAGGCAUGGAAAUAAAUUCUGAAAUUUUACCAAAAUGAUCUACACUCAUGGUAGAUCAUUUCAUAUGAAGAAGUCACGAGCCAAAACUGAAUUCCUGUUGGAGAAAUAAUUGAAGGAACAAAAGGGCAGAAACUGACCUAAAACAGCUCAACACCACAUGUUCAAGUUUCCUACCCACAUGAAGAAAGCUAGAUGCUUUUCUCUUUUUCCUUGGAUAUAUUUUUCUGCUCCAAUAGAUCAUCAUCACUUCCAUACUUCUGCACCUUCAUGCCUUGCUUUCAUUUCAUCAUUACUCCAUCUUUUCCAUAUUUUACAAACCACUUUCAUUAUUUUUCUUCCAUUUAUCAUUUCACUCUUCUUUUUCUUCCCUAUAUAAACACCUUCUCCUCUCACUCUAAGUACCUUCCUUCAUCCAUUUCAUCUUCUUUGUCUCUCCAUUUCCAUUCCAUUUUUCUCUCCAUUCUCUAGUUGCAAAAUUCUGCGUUUUCAAGUAAGAAGAAGAAGAAGAAGAAGGAGCCGGGAAUAUCAUAUCCUCCAUCGUCCACCUUGAAGGCUUGCUUCCAAGAUUCAAGAUUUCAACGUUUCAAGCACUCCAUCUCCAUCUCCAACUCACGGUGUGUACCCUCAAUCCCCGGAAUAGAACGAUCCCUAUUUGCUUAUACUACUAACGAUGUUUUCAGGGUUAAAUUAUGCGCUUGCUUUGAGCGUAUCAGUCGGAGGGCUGGGGAAUGGCAGACUGGUCCGCCUGCUCCUCAGCGUUUCCUUCGCUACCGUUAGUCAUGGUGGAUGUGGUGGGAUGACCUUUUGUUCAAGGAUUCCCACAGACGGCGCCAAUGUUAAUGUCUAAAAGUCCGGCGGUAGCUGAACCUUUGUUAACGCUGAUCCGAUGGGCGG